CUGUGCAGGUGGUGGUGCCCUCUGCGCCUUCACUGGGGCCCAGCCAAGUAACUGAAUCCAGCCAGGAGCAAGGGCAGACGCUGGCACAGGUCCUGCCACUGUCCCCAACCUGGGUUUCAACACAGCUGAGGCCUGGCAUAGUCUUUCUGGGCGCCUCUGGCUGGCUCGGUCUGAAAGGCGCGGCCAGGUCACAGUCGGCACCAGAAGUUUGGCAGAUCUCAGUGAGGCGUUAGUUUGCAUUUCCUUGUGACGGAGUCUCACUCUGUUGCCAGGCUGGAGUACAAUGGUGCCAUCUUGACUCACUGCAACCUCUGCCUCCCGGGUUCAAGCUAUUCUCCUGCCUCAGCUUCCUGAGUAGCUGGUACUACAGGCGUGUGCCACCAUGCCCAGGUUUUGACUGGAAUGCCAGGCUUAACGUUGCUCAGAAGUUGCUUCUAUGAGGACGUCUCCCAGCAGCUGUCAGUGUUUCCAAUGAGUCAUCGCCAGCCCCUGCAAUGAGCCUCUCAGGCUGGGGUUACUUAUUCUGGAUCUCAGCACUUGGAUAAAUAUUUGAGAAUAUUUUUUGCAGUAAGUGACAUCGUUUUAUGUGGAUGAACAGAAGAUUUUAAUUUUGAUAAAGUCUAAUGGAUAUAUGUGAUGUUAGUGUAAUUUGAAUGCAUACAUAUGUAUAUUUAAUGCAUUCUUUUAUGAUGAUUGUGCACUUCAUAUGAAAUGCGGCAACCUUGCCUUGCCAUCCCGGAGGCCUCUGCUUCUCUGAUCUGUGGGUGUCACAGGCACUUCACUUACUCACACCUUAUGGCACGGUUUCUUUUGCUCUAAGCCUGCACGUGUGUUUUAAAGGUAAUUUCUUCCGUUAGAGAAGUCGCGUAGGCUCACCCUGCUAUUUGCCAUUUCUGGAGCUCUUUAUCUCCUUCUUCAUAUCUGCAUUUCCCUCUGGAAUCAUUUCCAUUCAGCCUGAAGAACUCUUCUGCCUGGGACUCCACCUUCUUUUCUAGCAGCUGGGCUCAUUGGGAGCUCUGUCCUCUGGUGGCUCUGGCCAGGGGACGCUGGGUUUUCUCUUAGGGUUUCAGUUGGCCCGUGUGGUGCCAAUGUCAACGUGUCUGUAGGCCAGAGCCAGCAAUGAGCACCCCCUCGGUCUGGCCCUGAGCUCCAAGGCCCCACUCCCACGGGAUCUUGCUGCCAGGACCCCACUCUCUGCAUCUUGUCCAGAGUGUCGAGGAGGGCAGGGUCCAGCGGGAUCUCUCGGCCCUCCCAGGGCUGAGUCUGUGCUCUGACCUUUCCUGGGAGGCACUCAGGGCCAACAGAGCAACAAGGGGCCUUUCCCUGUGGCUCCCUCCCCUCUGGAGAAAAUGGGUCAGACCUGGGUUUCUCCAUAGUCACUGUCCCUAAAAUGAAGCCGGGCUGCCAGAGGCGGUUGCAUCUCCCGGCACCAAGACCCCAGAGUCCCUGUGAGAAAGAGGACCAACGACGAUGGAAGCCUUUCUCUAAUGUGCGCACAGCCAGGCCGCUCCUCUGAAGGCGCUGAGCCGCCUCUAAUCACAGCGCCACACUGGCCACAGGUCGCUGGGUAUAGGAUGAACCCAGCUGUGAAUAGGAUGCAUUUCCUGGGAGGUUUCUGUGAAGUUACUGAACUGCCAAAAGGUAAGCAGUUUUAAUUGAUUUGUGAGUCUUCAAUUAAGCACAGCAGAAUGCUAAUUAAAUAUUCUCUGUUCUUUAAAUAGAGAAUGCUUUAAAUAAUUCAGCACAAUCUUUGCAUAAAUCACACCAUUCAGCUGAGGUGCCUGUCAGCAGUCAAGUGAUUGAGAGCACAAACUGUCCCAAAGACACAGCCCCCUUCCCCCUGGAGACGCGCACAGCCUGCAGAAGAGAUGUCACCUGAUGCAGCGUUGUGGUUUAAAAACUCAUUAUGGGAAGCAUGAGGCUGGACCCAGGGGACCCUGGAGGUGAUGCAGGGGCUUUGGCAGCCUGGAAGCUGUUGGAGGAGGGGCCCUUGGUGGAAGUGGGGACAGUUUGAGCCUCCGGCCUCCAAUUCCCUCCCGCUGGCUUCUGGGCCGCACCUCCAGGAAUCCAGCUAGACCCGCAGGGCUCUGACUCCAGACUUUAUUAAAUGUUUCCUCUAACGGUUCUGGCCAUUCUGCUGGGCCAUUAAAGGCUACCCCAGGGCCUCAGA
Molecule: long non-coding RNA, 2170 nt
Filed under: Homo sapiens (human)
Lineage: Eukaryota; Metazoa; Chordata; Mammalia; Primates; Hominidae
Description: long intergenic non-protein coding RNA 1237
Source: RNAcentral